Molecule: RNA transcript, 9654 nt
Organism: Neofelis nebulosa (Clouded leopard)
Lineage: Eukaryota; Metazoa; Chordata; Mammalia; Carnivora; Felidae
Gene: XKR4
Gene name: XK related 4
Exons: 4
Source: RefSeq, a predicted model, not a curated record
AGCGCGCGCGAGGGGAGGAGAGGAAUGUGCAGGUCCGAGGAGCGCCGCGGCGGCCGCUGCUGCUCCUGCUGCUGGCGGCGGCGGCGGCUCGGGCGGCAGCCGCGGGGCCGGGACGGCGAGGAGCGCGGGCGGCUGGCAGGGGCGCGCGCGGGGCGCCGCGAGCAGCUUGGCUCCGCGCAGGCAGCCAGGCGGCGCUCCUGCCGGCCCCAGGCGCGCCGCUAGCCCGGCCCAGCGCCCAGCCCGGCGGGCGGCGGGCGGCGGCGGGCGAGCCGGCGCAGGAGCAGGAGGAGGGGGAGCCGCGCCGCCAGGGAGGGAAGCCGGGGCGAGGCGAGGAGGUGGCGGGAGGAGGAGACAGCGGGGAAAGGUGUCAGAUAAAGGAGGGCUCUCCUCCGGUUUGGAGGCAUCAUGGCCGCUAAGUCAGACGGGAGGCUGAAAAUGAAGAAGAGCAGCGACGUGGCGUUCACCCCGCUGCAGAACUCGGACCACUCGGGCUCGGUGCAGGGAUUGGCUCCGGGCUUGCCGUCGGGGUCGGGAGCCGAGGACGAGGAGGCGGCCGGGGGCGGCUGCUGCCCGGACGGCGGCGGCUGCUCGCGCUGCUGCUGCUGCUGUGCCGGGAGCGGCGGCUCGGGCGGCGGCUCCGGGGGCUUGGGCGGCCCGGGCGGCGGCGUUGGCGGCCCGGGCGGCAGCGGGGCGGGCUCGGCGGCGCUGUGCCUGCGCCUGGGCAGGGAGCAGCGGCGCUACUCGCUGUGGGACUGCCUCUGGAUCCUGGCCGCCGUGGCCGUGUACUUCGCGGACGUGGGCACGGACAUCUGGCUCGCCGUGGACUACUACUUGCGCGGCCAGCGCUGGUGGUUCGGGCUCACGCUCUUCUUCGUGGUGCUCGGCUCGCUCUCGGUGCAAGUGUUCAGCUUCCGCUGGUUCGUGCACGAUUUCAGCACCGAGGACAGCGCCACGACCGCAGCCGCCUCCAGCUGCCCGCAGCCUGGAGCCGAUUGCAAGACUGUGGCCAGCAGUGGGUCUGCAGCCGCGGAAGGCGAGGCUCGUCCUUCCACGCCGCAAAGGCAAGCGUCCAACGCCAGCAAGAGCAACAUCGCCGCCGCCAACAGCGGCAGCAACAGUAGCGGGGCCACCCGGGCCAGCGGCAAACACAGGUCUGCGUCCUGCUCCUUCUGCAUCUGGCUCCUGCAGUCACUGAUCCACAUCUUGCAGCUCGGGCAGAUCUGGAGAUAUUUCCACACCAUAUACUUAGGUAUUCGAAGCCGGCAGAGUGGGGAGAAUGACAGAUGGAGGUUUUACUGGAAAAUGGUGUAUGAGUAUGCAGAUGUGAGUAUGCUGCAUUUGCUAGCCACCUUUCUGGAAAGUGCUCCACAGCUGGUCCUGCAGCUCUGCAUUAUCGUACAGACUCAUAGCUUACAGGCCCUCCAAGGUUUCACUGCGGCGGCCUCCCUCGUGUCUUUGGCUUGGGCCCUGGCCUCUUACCAGAAGGCCCUCCGGGACUCUCGAGACGACAAGAAGCCCAUCAGCUACAUGGCCGUCGUCAUCCAGUUCUGCUGGCACUUCUUCACCAUUGCCGCCAGAGUCAUCACCUUCGCCCUCUUCGCCUCGGUUUUCCAGCUCUACUUCGGGAUCUUCAUCGUCCUCCACUGGUGCAUCAUGACCUUCUGGAUCGUACACUGUGAGACAGAAUUCUGUAUCACCAAAUGGGAAGAGAUUGUGUUCGACAUGGUGGUGGGGAUCAUCUACAUUUUCAGCUGGUUCAACGUCAAGGAAGGCAGGACUCGCUGUAGGCUCUUCAUUUACUACUUUGUGAUUCUUUUGGAAAAUACAGCCUUGAGUGCCCUCUGGUACCUCUACAAGGCUCCCCAGAUCGCAGACGCGUUUGCCAUCCCGGCGCUGUGUGUGGUGUUCAGCAGCUUUUUAACUGGCGUCGUUUUUAUGCUGAUGUAUUAUGCCUUCUUUCACCCCAACGGACCCAGGUUCGGGCAGUCACCAAGCUGUGCUUGUGAGGACCCAGUCGCCGCCUUCACUCUGCCUCCAGAGGUGGCCACGAGCACGCUCCGGUCCAUCUCCAACAACCGCAGUGUCGCCAGCGACCGCGACCAGAAAUUUGCAGAGCGGGACGGGUGCGUCCCUGUCUUUCAGGUGAGGCCCACGGCCCCGUCCACCCCAUCGUCUCGCCCACCACGGAUUGAAGAAUCUGUCAUUAAAAUUGACCUGUUCAGGAAUAGGUACCCAGCGUGGGAGAGACACGUUUUGGACCGAAGCCUCCGGAAGGCCAUCUUAGCCUUUGAAUGUUCCCCGUCUCCUCCAAGGCUGCAGUACAAAGAUGAUGCCCUUAUUCAGGAGCGGCUGGAGUAUGAAACCACUUUAUAAAAUAGAAGGCUUUGGAGGGGCCACAACCUCCAGGUGAAGGGGUGACAGCGGGGCCGUGGCAAUAAUGAAACUCCGUCCUAGACCAGGGCAGAGAGCUGUAAUGCGCUUAGUGUGACCGCCCAUCAGCUGGCUGCCCUGCUGUGGUCUCCUUUCCAAACAGCAGCUGAAGGGAACAUGGCGGCUUAGUAGGACUUCUCGUUGCUACCAGCCCUCCUGUCCACUCUCAGCGUGUCCACCAGAGGGUACAAUUAUCACGGAAAAUGUUGCCUCCAAUCAAUAGGGUGUUUUGAUGGAGUCAACUGAUCUUUGCAGAAAAAUCUAUUCAGUCACACACACACACACACACGCACACACACACACCUGCUAAUACACACACGGCACCAGUCCUCUGUCAAAACAGCUUAGGUGAUUUUUCUUGAUGCAAAGCUCUGAUUCUGAAUAUAAAAACAGAGAGAGAGAGAGAACAUAUCCCUCAAGACUCCAGGAAAAAAAACACAAAUAGUACCACUUAGAAAAGAAAUCAUAGACCAUUCUCAUUCGGAAACUGACACCAUGUGUGAAAAUCCUACCCAGUGGACAGCAAACUCAACUGUUGUUUACAUGUGUAUUAGAAUCAAUGGAAUGGUUCGUUUUCCACACAUUUCAGGAUUUGUCUUUUAGUUUAAAGUUUCCGUUGAGAACAUCCUUUCUGCCAGAAAUCCUAUGCAGCGCAUCUGUGGCUUUUGACAAGGCCAAGGAGCUCGAGAAGUUCGGGAGGUACACGAAAUGGUGAUCGCGAGUCAGUAUUCAGUUGCAGAAGUGUAAUAAAUCCCUGAAGAGGAAGCACGGGAAAAACAAGGCAAAACGAGCGUCAGAUUUCCCGGCCUGUGCGGCUCACACUGGCAUGUAAGUGCAGGGGCAGAAGAGGGACAGGCUGACCCGGAUGUUACAAGAUGCGGAAAAGCGUGGCUCCGUGUGAGCACGUGCCGGGCCACACCCACCUAGUGCCAAACACCGUCCAACCACAGGACUGACGUGCAAGUCCCAAACACCUGAGAACGAGUGGCCUGAGCCCCCCCCCCCCUACGCCGCCCAAACGCGGACGUGAGAGUGCACCAUCAAGUUCCCCACUGUGUACAGACUUUCCCCACCCCCACCCCCCCAAUCCAAGGUCAAAGUGAUGUGUCUUUUAGAGGCUUUGGGACCCUUUCUAGUAAGUAUGAGCAGACGAUGCAGUGACCAUGCUACGAGAAAACCCUUCCCAACUGAUUGAGGGCUUAUCACUCGAUCCAGCUAAGAUUUGUAUUUGAAUCGUUUGUAAAGUCGCACUCUUACAACAAACUUCUGGGUUUUAAAUACCUCCGUACAGCAAGUAAACGUUCCCUGCUUUCUGUUCCCAGUGUCCUCGGUCAUGGUGCUUUUUGUUGCAUUAAAAGUGCCGGUCAAACUUUGAUAGUAUUUUUUUAUAGUUGGUGCAGAGUGGAAUAACUCAUGGAUUAUUUCAAUAUUUUUGUAAUAAAAAAAUAUAGGGUAUACAUGUAGGCAUCAUCACUUUUUUUAUAGACCUGGAAUCGUUUAAAAUACUUUAAGCGUCAUCAUUCCUUGGGAUGUCCGAAACUGGUCCACAAAUUCCAUCAGCCUGCCUCAGCGGAUUGAGAACACCUGUCUCUUGGAAGAUCACCCUACUUUUCAGUGUUGGUGCCCCCAGGAACCUGGCCAGGGGUGCUAUCAGAAUAUCAGGUGACGAGAGAAUCAGCUUACCUAGAAAGGGCUUGUCAAGACUGGCCAACGUUUCCCAGGAUGUGAAAGCUGUAAAUGAUUACUUUCAUCCAUCCAUUAUCACGAACCUGACCACAGUGGAAGAUGUCUUAAACUUCCUUCCCUGGUUUUAUAUUAACCCAAGUGAUAUAUUAAAUAUUAGUCCAAGUCACUAAAAAGAGAGAGAGAGACAGAGAGAGAGAGAGCGAGAGAGGGGAAAGGUCUGUUUAACUUCAUUGCUCGGUUAUCUGGACUGUCCAAUCCACUUAAAAUAGUCAAGUUCUGGAGCCACCACCUGUAAUGGGUGGGUCAUACAGAGACUGCUGUCCCCGUGACAUCCACAGGAAAUGGCAGAGCGCUCAACCUAGGACUUCUUUUGGUACAAAGCCCCAGAGCAAUGUUUUCAAAAUAGAUGACUUUUUAUCGCUUGACGUGCUUCCCUAGUACUCCAUGAUUUCAUCCUCCAAGCAAGAUUGCCACUAAAAAACAAUGAUCUUUUGUCCAGAUGUGAAAAGUUUACCCGGUCGCCAGCAAAGGCCCAGGAAGACGCUCUUCUUGUCAGUGACUGGUGAAAACAUUGCGCCCCCCCAUCGUGGAAGGAAAACGUGAUUACAUUGGCAAAAACUCUUCAUCUUUGUGCAGGACCAUGAGUUAUUAGCUUCGUUAUUUCCAGGAAGACUUGUAAGUGAUGAUCUUUGGAAACUGAAUGGCUCAGCUGAACUGUACCUUUGAUUUCACGAGUAAAUAACAGAUCACAAUUACAGCGUCAAUCGACACAAACUCAGCAGGCCCCACCACUCCUCAGUCAUAAACAUCUUGGAACUUGUCAAGCUUUACCGAAGGUGAUUUGCGUUAAGUAAUGCAACAGACCCUUUAAUCUUGCAAACUCUUGACUUGUAAUGUUGUAGCCAAGCAAGGGGAAAUUAAUCAGUGAGUCGGAAAGAGCACUUCCUGCCGUGCUGUGCCCAGGCCUGAAGAGAAAGACCUCUGUGAAAGUAGGAGCACUAAGGAAUUCGUGCUAACUGCUGCCUCAUCAUUCAUGCUAUGAAUAUUCAUCCGCUUCAUUUGUUUUUUCCGGGAAGCGCUGCUUUGAAAGAAAGAAAGAAAUUAAGAAAGGUGGUAAAGGAAAAAAGUCAAUGGAUUCCUGGGGCUUGUGUAGCUCGGAGAAUAGGUACUGGGUCACAGAGACUCGUGUUCAAUGGAUACAAAUCUACAUGUGUUUGGAAAUGAAAAAAAAAAAUGUCAUUGUCAUCUCUUUAAUGAUUGAUCUGAGUACAGUGGCCGCCCUUCAUUUGUUGAGGCUACUGUUGUCAGCAGUGUGAAAACCAAUUUCUAAAAAUUGAAUCUGUAAUUCAGUUUCGGAGGUAAAAAUCUGCACGGAUGGAACUAUUCAGUAAUUUGGUUCCUGUCUUCCCUGGGUGGUGACCCGGCAAGUUUCAAACCGAGGCGACUGUGUGGAAUUGGCUCUCCUGCUCCUUCUGAGACCCUGCAACGUCUGGGUUACAAGCUAGAAGAUCGUCAAGUUGAGAUUCUUGAUUGCCUAAGUGUUUGCUUCAAAGUAAACAGGUAAUCUCGCAAUUAAAAAAUCACGGUUCUUUCCCACUUGCUUCUCUGUUUUCCAAGAAAGGUUUGAGCUGUAACGGAAGAAUGAAAUGUACCUCAGAUGGUAGUUCCAGAGUCUGCAUGAGUCGGGCAUCCGUCUGUUCUUAUAAAGUUUCUGUCUGACCUUUUGGUAGAGCAAUUUUAGGAAUGAACCCCAGAUGAAUGAGUGAAAGCCAUCAGAUUUAUCUGAUAAGCACCCUAACGGAAACAUUUUUUAAAAAAGAAGCAAGGAUCCUUUUUCUUGUGUUUCAAGGAUGUGUUUCUCCUUCCUGAGCGAUCAUCUUGGUGACUAUCUCCAAGAUGUACCAAGAGCUACUGAACGAUAGUUUCAGUUAUGGGCUCCAGUAUCGUGCUGAACACGAUGACAAAAGUCAUUUUUCAGAACUAGCUCUUGGCUCAAGCACUGACAUUGAAUGGCAAAAACUGGCCUACCACCGUGUGACUUAUUUUCAAUUGCAAGGCAGUGGAAACUAGUACGUGAAAGAAAAUGUUAAUUUCCUGAACUCCAAAGCCAAAAUGGGCAACAAAGCAACUCUGAAACCUACAAUGAGUUGGUUGACCGUGGGGAACCCGGGAGCAAUAAACAUUCCUCUUAAGCAAGGCUCAUGAGUGAGACUGGCUAUAAGCUGUGUUGGGACAGAAGGUGAUUGAAGAGGACGCCUACCAGUGGCUCAUGAGGAAUAUUUGCCUUUUUAGAGAGCAGAGGUUCAAGGUAGCCCCCUGCUAUUCCAUAACUAUGACGAUAGAUACAUCCAUAUAUGAAGGGCCAAGGCAGAAGACAGAGAAGAUGCCAGGGGCUUCAUGUCUGAGACUAACUCUGUCUCUAAGGGAACAGCUCUCCUUGGUCAUUGGCCCCUAUGCUGCUAACUAGCUCUGCAUGCCAAGAGCUUCUGAUGGAUUACAAGAUGAGAUAUUCAAAGGUAUUGUAAGUACUCUUGCUCGUAGAACACGAACCAUUGAAUUAUCCCUCAUUUCAACAGCAACGAGAUUCAGGGUUACUAUGGCCUUACUCAUCAUCCCAUUGUAAAUACGUCAUGAUGUCACGAGAGCCUCCGUGUUCAAAUUCACUAAAACAGGUUUCCACGUUCCAAGUCUGUGUCUCUAUCCGCAAAUUGGAAACAUAACUUUGGGAGAAUGAUUUUCGGAAUAACGGAAGUGAAAAGAGAGUGGACAGUGAAGCAAUUUCUCACCAUACACGAAACCACUUAGAGUACUGAUAGCCCUAAAGCUCUGAUUUUUUUUUUUCUCAUGACUAAGUUUCCUUUAACUUAGGGGCUUUCGACAUCUGAAUUUUCUGGAUGAUUACUGACACAUCUUCACCAAACUGAAGCAGACACAACGGCAUUGUUAAAAAAUAAAGACUGCCCACAUGAAUGCCAAUAUCCCAAUGAAAAGUGAAGAAGGAGGUCACUCAAGGAGUAAAUUUGGUCUUGGUGAGGUCAAACAUUUGGCUGCUUGGGAAAAUCCAGAUGUUUGAAUGAUACGGUUUUUCAUCUGGUAGUCUGGUGUUGUCUCGAUAGACAGAAAAUGCUCAGGUGUUGUAGGUAAUGACAUUUAACUUUCUUGUUGCAGUAAUCUGUUGCUGGUGAUAUUCUGCUGCUAACAAUCUCUUUGUUGUGCAAAGAGGAAUAAAUAAUGCAGAGCAAAUGCUAUUUGAUUUUUUUAUUUACUUUUGGCACACCCAAGAGUGGAAGAGGUUUGGGAGGCUGUCGUAGGGGAGUGGGGGGGUGGGUAUUCCGAUGUGAUUGAGGCACAGACCUCCCUCACCGAGCCGGUUCUGGAGGCCUGCCACUUGGCUCCUUCCUGCCGAGGAAACUUUUUAUCCAGCUCUUUUCCAUCCUUUUAUACUUGCCCCUCUGCUCUUCAUGUAGGUCUUAAUCGCUCACAAAGUCUACUUGACAGAAGAGUUCAAGGGAAAUACAGAGUCGUUAACUUUUUAUUCUUCAAGUAGGAAGUUUCCAUUGCAAGGACUUCUUAGAUCUUUGAAGCAGAAAAAUCAUUUAAACUACUCAAUGCAGUUAUUUCGUGGUGCAUGUUGCGGUGUGGACAGAAGUAAAAGCUAUUUUUCCCAAAUUAUACAAAAUGCAUACUUGGUUUGGUUUAUUGAUGUCGUUCUGAUUGCCAAGGACUGACUGGUUAUACACAGUGAAAGAGUAGUGCUGUCUUUGUAGUCCCAGAAAACGGAAAAAAAGAGAAAAUGUCAAAGGAAAGUUCACUCUCCAGAAAGAAAGUUUGAGAUAGUGGUAUGACUCUUGUGUUUGUGACUAAUUAGGGACGUUUCCUCCCUUGUUUCAUCUGACUUGGCUCUGGACUAGUGAGUGUGUGUAUUUCAUCAAAUUGGGUGCUUACCUCAUUUUCUAUUCUGAGGCUGGACAGGAAAACAGGCAAGUUAUUCCGACCGAUUUUCUCUUCUGUGAGUUUAUGUUGCAGAACCCGUUCCGAGGCACUGACCGUAAGCAGGCACACAGAGCGCGAUCGAAAGGUCACGAGAGCAUUUCCAGAGAAAAAUCUAAAUGUUUUGUACAUUCUUAGCGUUUUGAUCGCGUCAAAUGCUACCUUUCAGCGCCAACUUAGAACGACUUCGUGGGGUAGGCAUUGCCCAUGUCCUUGUUGGGUCCCUCCUCCCGUCACAUGCAGACGCUUCCGAAAUCAAUUGGAUGCUCCACCUGUGUAGCAAGGGCCUCCAGCCACUGGGUGUCGCUGCUCUGUGCUGACUGUGUUUUGAAAACGCUCCUUCGGAUGGCUGACCCAGUUUGCUAGCCCCCCACCUGUGAAAGCCCUGGCGACCACCGCGCCGCCACUUCCUGUCGCAGGUGUACAAACCAACCCGGUUUGGCUUUGCUUUUCUUUUUCCUUGAGAUUUUUGACUUCACCAGAUCUUUUCCCAAAUCUUUUUACUGUCAUGUUAUCGACAGGAUAUUUAGUUCUGUGUUUCAGUCAACUGGCAACCAAGAGGCGACAAUCAGUUGGCAACUACAGAAAUUUUAGGUGUUUUGGUUUGUUUUGUUUCCAGUUACCUUUUAUUAUGUAAUAAUUGAAUGGAACUUGUGGUUUGGUAGAAAACUAAAAGUCCCUGAGUUGAAUAUAAUGGCUGUUGUAAUUAUACUUAAAUAUAUUCUACGAAACGGUAUCCUUUCACACUAUGGAGUAUACUCCUUUCUGGAGACAAGAAGAUGGAAGGGCCAUGGUCCAGCGGUGGAAACACACACAGGGGCCUAGCAUCUGCGCCCCUUGAGUCCUCAUUCCUGGUCGGUCCCUUCAGCCUCAGAAACUCGCCCACAGCCUCCUUUUUCCCAUAUGUAAACGAGAGAUAAUCUUUAUCUACCUACCUCACAGUGAUUUUGUGAAGAUGCGUUAAGUUGGUAAAGUGCGUCGGCACUUGAGUAGGGGUGUUAGCGCAAAGGAGGCCUGUGCGCAGCCCUGAAACAGGCUACAGGAGGGGAAGUGGAGGCAGCUUAGUAACACGACAGCAAUAAAUCACCAAGCAGAGAGUACGAGUAUUUGUGAUCACUUAGCAGAAGUGAAACUUUUCCUUCAAAGGUCUAUGUAGAACUUUUUUUUUUUUAAUUAUCAGCUUUUUAAUGACAAAAAUUAAUUCCUUUCAUACAAACACUGAGAAGCUUCGUACGGAAGGACGAUUUCCCUCGUAGCCAAGCUGAAUUUUAUGAUAGAGUUAUUAAAUAUAUCCAAAAGACUGGGCUCCUUCUGAUGCCUAAAGAGUUUGCAUGCCUCAUCCCCAAACUACAUUUUCCAGAAUGCCUGCCUGAUACCUGAGUUCAGGACUCACGAUUGCCAAGCGGUGUUCUGGAACCCACUACCAGGAGGGAAAAUUUUUAAUCGGUAUUGAGAUUAGAUUUUGUGUUGUUUCCGGUGAAGUUCUUUUUUGACUCUUAGAUGACACAUCCCUCCCUCUACUACCCAAUAAAAGAAUGUAAAGCCUUA